GGAAACUAACAUGGGAGAGAUGUUAGCGGUGUGAUUGGUUGGUGUGAUUCGUGCUAUCAGCUGUUAUUUCAGCAACAAGUGGUUAAUGACGAGACUAAAAUGCAUCUUGCUGAAAGUUCAGGUGACUUUGCAAGAUUGUUCAAGAGCACCAUGUUCUGCUACCUUCAUUCAAAAGUUUUUUGAUCUCUUUCAUGGGAUACAGGUUACAUCUAAGUGUGGUUUUACCAUUUAUAAAGACAUACCUGCCAGACCUCCCCACCUUCCUGAAGAACUCUGUGUUCCCUGCUCUAAUAGUAUAUUAUUUUGCAGGACAUUUGUCAAGCCGGCUGGUUGCUGAAAUGCGCUGGAAAGAUCCUCCUGUCACCAGAUAGCACCUGGCGGAGGGCUGGGAACAGUCAACUCUUCCCACUUUGAGCAAAUCUGGGACCAAAAUCCCUUCAGGAUUCACGGAGCUCGGAGGACCAUGUCAGGAACCAGUCGUGUUUAUUUUCAUAUGGUCCUGUUUCUUUUUUCCCCACUGAGAAAUUAUAUUUUCAUGGAACUGACUGAAAAUCAAAUAGAUUCUGUGGAGAAAUAACUUGAAAAGACAUUU
This 592-nucleotide long non-coding RNA is filed under the name Anas platyrhynchos platyrhynchos (common mallard). Its description in RNAcentral is "lncRNA (ENSAPLG00000017672.1)". Lineage: Eukaryota; Metazoa; Chordata; Aves; Anseriformes; Anatidae. The record is from RNAcentral.